CGGUUGUGAUGCUGCGCCGUAACGAGGACAAGCCACGCUUCCGCAGCAUCGUUCAUGCAGUGCAGGCCGGCAUCUUUGUGGAGAGCACUGGCUCAGUGAGUUGGAGAUCUUUGCCAUCAUUUUUGCAGCUGCCAUUCAUGACUACGAGCACACAGGGACCACCAAUAACUUCCAUAUUCAGACAAGGUCAGACACCGCCAUGUUGUACAAUGACCGAGCUGUUCUGGAGAACUACCACGUCAGUGCUGCAUAUCGCCUUCUACAGCACAGUGAUGACAUGAACAUUCUGUCUAAUCUCUCCAAAGACGAGUGGAGAUUACAGUGCAAGUCAUUGCUUCUAAAAUACUGCCUCCUACUGGUGCUUAGAGGGAGCUACAGCUGAUGAUACCAGGGAGUAACACGUCACCUUAUUUUACAGUCAAGCAGAAUCAAAUGACUCAUUUUAGGGACAAGUUGAGUAGUUUGGGGCAGAGUUACAUCGAUCUGGCACUGCAUUGCUGCAGAAAUAUAGAAGUGACAGCAACAGGAUGAAAGCAUCUCAGUCUCCUCUGAUUAAACUUUCCCCAAGCUUCAUCU
Gasterosteus aculeatus aculeatus (three-spined stickleback) is the source of this 576-nucleotide long non-coding RNA. The record is from Ensembl. Lineage: Eukaryota; Metazoa; Chordata; Actinopteri; Perciformes; Gasterosteidae.